RNAcentral lists this ribosomal RNA (406 nucleotides) under uncultured bacterium. RNAcentral's name for it is "bacterial SSU rRNA". It matches the Rfam family "Bacterial small subunit ribosomal RNA", at positions 28 to 418 of the family's 1533-position model. The record is from RNAcentral.
GACGAACGCUGGCGGCGUGCUUAACACAUGCAAGUCGAGCGAGAGCCGGCUGAGGGGUAACCCUCGGCCGGGGACAGCGGCGAACGGGUGCGUAACACGUGGGUGAUUUGCCUCCGAGUGGGGAACAACACCGGGAAACUGGUGCUAAUACCGCAUGACAUCCUCGGGUCGUACUGAGGAUCAAAGCUGGGGACCGCAAGGCCUAGCGCUUGGAGAGAAGCCCGCGUCCGAUUAGCAGUUGGUGGGGUAAUGGCCUACCAAGGCGACGAUCGGUAGCCGGCCUGAGAGGGCGGACGGCCACACUGGGACUGAGACACGGCCCAGACUCCUACGGGAGCAGCAGUGGGGAAUUUUCGCAAUGGGGGAAACCCUGACGAAGCAACGCCGCGUGGAGGAUGAAGGCCUC